This 222-nucleotide ribosomal RNA is filed under the name uncultured bacterium. RNAcentral's name for it is "partial 16S ribosomal RNA". It matches the Rfam family "Bacterial small subunit ribosomal RNA", at positions 15 to 226 of the family's 1533-position model. The record is from RNAcentral.
GAUCAUGGCUCAGGAUGAACGCUAGCUACAGGCUUAACACAUGCAAGUCGAGGGGCAGCAUGGUUCUUAGCUUGCUAAGACUGAUGGCGACCGGCGCACGGGUGAGUAACACGUAUCCAACCGUGCCGUCUACUCUUGGACAGCCUUCUGAAAGGAAGAUUAAUACAAGAUGGCAUCAUGAGUCCGCAUGUUCACAUGAUUAAAGGUAUUCCGGUAGACGAG